This 462-nucleotide ribosomal RNA is filed under the name uncultured bacterium. RNAcentral's name for it is "partial 16S ribosomal RNA". It matches the Rfam family "Bacterial small subunit ribosomal RNA", at positions 28 to 507 of the family's 1533-position model. The record is from RNAcentral.
GACGAACGCUGGCGGCGUGCUUAACACAUGCAAGUCGAACGGUGAAGCCCUUCGGGGUGGAUCAGUGGCGAACGGGUGAGUAACACGUGAGCAACCUGCCCCUGGCUCUGGGACAACCACUGGAAACGGUGGCUAAUACCGGAUACGACCCGCCUCGGCAUCGAGUGUGGGUGGAAAGUUUUUCGGCUGGGGAUGGGCUCGCGGCCUAUCAGCUUGUUGGUGAGGUGAAGGCUCACCAAGGCGACGACGGGUAGCCGGCCUGAGAGGGCGACCGGCCACACUGGGACUGAGACACGGCCCAGACUCCUACGGGAGGCAGCAGUGGGGAAUGUUGCACAAUGGGCGAAAGCCUGAUGCAGCGACGCCGCGUGAGGGAUGACGGCCUUCGGGUUGUAAACCUCUUUCAGCUCCGAAGAAGCGAAAGUGACGGUAGGAGCAGAAGAAGCACCGGCUAACUACGUG